CUGCUGUUGACAGGACUGUACUGAUCCUCAGCAGCUGAAUGCAAUGGGGUGUAUCGAUUGGACCAAAUUAAUCAUUACACAGAUGCCUUUAAUGUCAUCAUUAAAUCAAUUUGGAGUUUGCUUACAUUUUUGAUGACUCCUAAGUAAUUGCCAAAGUUAUCUAGGGAGGAAGGUUCAUGUAAAUGACAUGGUGUCCACAGUCCACAGGUGGGGAUGAAAAGUCGUUCCUUUUCUGGAGUCUCUCACCAUCUGGAGCUCUGAAAAAAAGCAAAACACUUUUUUAUUGUGGUACUGCCAUUUGGACUCCAUUGAAAAAACAAACAAACAAACAAACAAACAGAGUUACUGGAGGAAGAAUCCGAUUCUAGAGGAAUUAUUUUAACUCUGACUUCAGCGGACCUUGGAAAGGAUCCUGAAUUUGAAAUACAUCAUUCUGCCAUCUUAGAAACACAUUUGGCACACCCUGUUUGAAGAUAUCAUAAACGGCAUAUAUGAUCUUUUAUUCAUAAUCUACUGUUGCAGCUGAUACUGUUGGAUUUAACUGUGGUUUUUCGUCAUAGAUAAAUGCAUUCUUUAAAGGGCUUUGAACCAUUUUUAAGUAUGAAUGUACUGUACAGUGUUUUAUGACAACUGGUUGAUUAGCCCUGAUUUGUUUUUCUUUUGGAAGUUUUCUUUUCAUGUGUGUAUGAAGCUGUGCAUUAUAUUUACUUUCCAGCAUCAGUGACACCAAAAGCUAAAAAGCUACUCACAAAAUCAGCUACCAAAAGUCAUUGCUGGAUUUGUUUCCUUUUGCUUUGCAUCUGCUUGGCUACCAUUUCUGAUAUAUUAGAGGAAUUUGUAAACACACAUAUCAAAGAAAUUAAUCAAAACAGCCUCGUGCUAUUGUGUAUAUUUGACCCACGGUGUUUAUUUAAUCUCUGGUCUACAUUACACCGGAAGCCAGAUUUUACGGAUUGACAAAAUUGCAAUCAAAGAUUGCAAAGACACAGUGUGACACAGCUCAGUGGCUGGCAGCGGGUGGCCACAGCAGCCUGGGAUAAAUGUUGGUUGUUCCCUGAAUAUACUGGUUUUCAUGCUCCAGUGUUUUCUUUCCUCUUCUCAGCCCUCAUCUGUGCACUCCUGCCCUUCUGCAGGUGACCUCUGGUGCUCAGUGGGAACCACGAUGAGGUCUGAGCUAAAUCACUGCUGACUCUAACUGCAGCCACAAUAACGUAGAGUGACACUAAGUUAUUACAGUAACUGCUAUCCUUAAAAUCUAUGAAACUGUGUGAAAUUUAUGAAUUGUGAAAGCAGUUGCAUACAUGAAUAAGACAAUUCACUUGAGUAAUCCUAAUUUUAGUGCUAUUGAUUGUGUAUUCCUUUGGAAGA
Molecule: long non-coding RNA, 1368 nt
Filed under: Anas platyrhynchos platyrhynchos (common mallard)
Lineage: Eukaryota; Metazoa; Chordata; Aves; Anseriformes; Anatidae
Description: lncRNA (ENSAPLG00000018499.1)
Source: RNAcentral